Molecule: non-coding RNA, 913 nt
Organism: Pelobates cultripes (western spadefoot toad)
Lineage: Eukaryota; Metazoa; Chordata; Amphibia; Anura; Pelobatidae
Source: the annotation of a GenBank genome assembly
ACAGACGUUACUAGUCCUUCAUCACUCCGAUCAUGGACCAUCCCACGUCUCACUGCAGAACUUAGAAGACACUGCAUCCCUUUCCCAGCUACUGCUAGGAAGUCAGAGUUGUUUAGACUUUUAAACACUACCUCGGACAACUCUGAUGCAGGGGAAGGCCCUAGUGGCACACGAUUGCCGGCGUUUCACGCCAUGAUGAUUUCACUUAUGUCAUCCAUCAGCACAAUUAGUGAUAGGCUGGAUAAAUUGGAAGCAAGUGGCGCUAAACAGACUGCUACAAACCCUAUUGUUGCCAGUCACCCUCUCGCUGACAUUAUACCUGGUAAUACAUCGGAAUCCAUAUCAAUAAUUGAAGCUAUUAAUCCUUCGCACAGGCUCCAAUCUCACCUUAAAAAGGACAUUCUGGAAGGCAAGGAUGUAAACCUGGUUUCAUUGCUUAUAGCCUCCCAGGAUGUCCUAGAGCAUAGGACAUUUGCAUAUGGGGAUAUAUCAGUCGUACUAAGGGCAAGAGAACCGAGGCUGAACAAAAAAUUGACCAUCCCUGAAUUUGUACUAGGUUUUGGGAUCUGUAGGGAUGUUUACUGCUCCGUAUACCCGGGGAAAAGAGUAGAGCUGGAUGCAUACAUGCACAAGAUGGUGGACCUGGGGCACAAAUACGGUGGUACCGCUUCUUACGAUUACCACCGUUCCUUUUCUGAAAAAGGUGACUGCAGCUCUGGCUCAGUUCAAUUUAAGCAUUAAUUGGAGCAAAUUGGACACUGAGUUAUUCUGCAGGCAUUUUGAAGGCCUCAGACCUCCAGCUUGUGCAGUUUGUGCCUCUACAGCACAUCACACAAAUUUCUGCCCAAACACAGCAGAAAUCGAACAAAACCAAACUACCUCUAACUUUCCAAAAUCUGCUAGGGGAUUAAAA